This 499-nucleotide ribosomal RNA is filed under the name uncultured bacterium. Its description in RNAcentral is "partial 16S ribosomal RNA". It matches the Rfam family "Bacterial small subunit ribosomal RNA", at positions 28 to 523 of the family's 1533-position model. The record is from RNAcentral.
GAUGAACGCUAGCGGCAGGCUUAAUACAUGCAAGUCGAGGGGCAGCACAGGUAGCAAUACUGGGUGGCGACCGGCAAACGGGUGCGGAACACGUACACAACUUACCUUAGAGUGGGGGAUAGCCCAGGGAAACUUGGAUUAAUACCCCAUAAAACAGGGGGCCCGCAUGGGCAUAUUGUUAAAGAUUUAUCGCUUUAAGAUGGGUGUGCGUAUGAUUAGGCAGUUGGUAGGGUAAAGGCCUACCAAGCCGACGAUCAUUAACUGGUGUGAGAGCACGACCAGUCACGCGGGCACUGAGACACGGGCCCGACUCCUACGGAAGGCAGCAGUAAGGAAUAUUGGUCAAUGGACGGAAGUCUGAACCAGCCAUGCCGCGUGAAGGAUGAAGGUCCUCUGGAUUGUAAACUUCUUUAUAGGGGGCGAAAAAGGGCCAUUCUUGGUCAACUGACGGUACCCUAUAAAUAAGCACCGGCUAACUCCGUGCCAGCAGCCGCCGUAA